This 447-nucleotide ribosomal RNA is filed under the name uncultured bacterium. Its description in RNAcentral is "bacterial SSU rRNA". It matches the Rfam family "Bacterial small subunit ribosomal RNA", at positions 355 to 825 of the family's 1533-position model. The record is from RNAcentral.
UGGGGAAUCUUGCGCAAUGGGCGAAAGCCUGACCCAGCAACGCCGCGUGAAGGAUGAAGUAUUUCGGUAUGUAAACUUCGAAAGAAUAGGAAGAAUAAAUGACGGUACUAUUUAUAAGGUCCGGCUAACUACGUGCCAGCAGCCGCGGUAAUACGUAGGGACCAAGCGUUGUUCGGAUUUACUGGGCGUAAAGGGCGCGUAGGCGGCAAUUCAAGUCAUCUGUGAAAUCUCCGGGCUUAACUCGGAACGGUCAGAUGAUACUGCUUUGCUAGAGUGCAGAAGGGGCAAUCGGAAUUCUUGGUGUAGCGGUGAAAUGCGUAGAUAUCAAGAGGAACACCUGAGGUGAAGACGGGUUGCUGGGCUGACACUGACGCUGAGGCGCGAAAGCCAGGGGAGCAAACGGGAUUAGAUACCCUUGUAGUCCCUGAGCGGGCUGGCAAGGCGCAU